CUGCAUGCUGAUCUACACCGGCGUUUGUCAGCCGAGAUCGUUUCGGUGUGAUUAGCGGGAAUUGGUUCGGUCAUUUUAAUUGCAAACACUGAUUGUGUGUGUGUGGCGGUGGCGGCAUGUGCUUCGGUUUGGCAGGUGGUGCAAGAUGUAGCCAACUGUGGUGACUGGGUUGACUAUGGGCUGGUGAUGAGUUAUGAGUCGGGCGAUCUGUGAUUAGUGUUCGAUGCCGCGCCGUGUGUUACUGCGAUUAUUAUUAUAACCGGUAGCUUGUUUCGCAUUUCGUCGAUUGGCAAUUAUUUUAAAAUUUAAUAUUAGAACCCCACUUUUAAGAACCGAUUGUAUUGCCUGGUCCACUCAAACCGGCUGGUACGGCCAUCAAAUGGGCUCAGUCAAAUGGGAAAUAAAAUCAACCAAUGGUGCGCAAAAUGAUGCGAAUUUUGUGCAAAAGCUGUUUGCAGCAUUAAGAAAGGGCGAUUGCUGCUAAAACCAAUUAUUCCAAUUCGGAUGAAUGCAGAAUUAGAUUUGCGUUUUUUUCUCCUUUGCUUCUUCCCCACAGUUUCUCUCGUCAAUUUGAAGCUAACGAUUUUUCGACGAACACAAAUGCUAUCUAUCGUAUCGGAAUGGAAAAAUAAAAUUCAGCUAAAAAGAAAAGUAAAACCCCGAUCCGCUCAUCUGCCUGGACAAAGGGCAAAUAAUAAGCUCGAAUUGUCAUUCCAUCUCUUUCGCUCGCAUCCCCGUUUAUGCACGCGAAUCACAAUCACAGCACCGACAAUGAAAAAUAAUCACAUGGACGAAAGAGGAGUCAAAAUUGUGACCACUUAAGUUCGACAACUAUUGCGUAGUCCUUACGCGGGUGGGAAAUUGAAGGACUCGAUAUGACAUUCUUGGAGGUUUUCUUGCUUUUUUUGUUUUGCUUCCAACCCCUGUGUUACAAACGAGUUUGCCAUUCGACGUUCAUGUUCUGUCCGUUCCGAUGGUGGCAGAUUUGUUAUUGAGUUAAGCAUCUUCCGCCUUAUUCCGGAAUGGGCGAUGACAUCCGGGUGCAGAGUCGUCAGCCAGCUAUAUUGACCUCAUUUUUAUGGCUUGAUUAUUUAGCCGUUUCAAACGACCGAAGCACGAUUGCUUAUUUAUCUUUGUCUUUGUGUCCAUUUUUGCCCGUUUGGCCCCCAGUUGGGUUGGGCUUCUCAAUGCUGACGCCAUUCGCAAGACUCGUUUGUUAUGUUCUAUGGUUUCCGUGAAAGGUUUUUUUAUUGGAGAAAAUAAUAUCAAUGUUUAUAGUUGAUAAUUAUUUGAUCAUUUUAAAGGGGGUCAUAAAUUUAUUGAUGAAAUAUUUAAGAUAUUAGGUAUAUAAAAUAAUAUAAAAAUACUAUUAACAAUAACAAACUGGUUGAGUUGUUCGCUUUUUUGUUUAUGAUAAACAACCCUGAGUAUUUUCGUUAUGUAUACAUCUUGUUAAAAUUACGUUCAAUGAAGUGCAAUUCACUGACGUGUAAUUUAUCGCUCCAGUUGCGUUUAUUGCAUACAAAAGCACAUUGAAAUGAAUUAUAGAACUUGCUCAGUAAAAACACACAAAUUAAGCAUUAAACGGUUGAAUGAAGUUUAGCUUGAGAGCUGAUACUUCGGUGAGCAAUCGUGAAUAGUACAAGUCAGCCUCUUCAAAGAAUCAUGCUGAUCCAGAUUAAGAAAAAGGAUCUCUGUUUCACUUUCUUCAUUUUCUUUCUGUACGGUUGCGUGCGUGGGCAACAAAACAGGAACGAAACGCUCUUCAAACCUUCACGAUGCCACUUCUUUGCAUCGGUCAUUUGUUUGUUACGCUUCACUUCACGUACUGCAAAAGCUUAUUUGUAUGGAUUAUUAGCGAGUGAAGAACAAAACUCUCAAAAUGGAGAAACCGGGAAGGAAAAAAGCUCUCCCAGCUAGCCUGGUGGAAGUUCCGCAGUUCUUUCCGGUAUUAUGGCAGCUGGCAGAAGGCAAAUUCCACCGUAAGCAUGAACGGUUGCAGACAUAACGUUGGUCCGUGUAAUGACUACUCUUAUCCUAGCUAUAAAUCAUACUUCUAAACUCGUUAUCCUUUGUGCCGUGGAAUGCGGAACAUCACAUUUACCUUUUUACUUACGGUGUUGUUUCUCUCUCCAUUUUUUUUCCAUUUCAGGUAAGAUCCACUCACUUUACGCUUGACGUGUUGAAGCGAUCGUUGAUGCUGUUCGGUGCUAGCAGCCUUUGUGUGUGUUUUUUUUACUUGCGUCACCAAGGUAUUUAGUUACAAAUUAUCGCAAAAUUUCUUGUUAGCUUAUACGCAACGCACCGUGAUGAAAGGACACGUCUUGUGGCUCUUGGUGGAGUCCCCCGAUACCCGUAGGUGAUUAACGGAACCGGUAAGCGGAUUUUCUCGUCUAAAUACUCUACCCAUGGUGAUGAGGAGAUUUACACAAAAUUUGUAAUGGAAUCAAUUUCAUUCGA
Molecule: long non-coding RNA, 2460 nt
Organism: Anopheles funestus (African malaria mosquito)
Lineage: Eukaryota; Metazoa; Arthropoda; Insecta; Diptera; Culicidae
Exons: 3
Source: RefSeq, a predicted model, not a curated record